ACAAACAAAAACAAACAAAAAAAAAAAAAAAAAGAAAACAGACAUUAGACAUAGAGAAUAUACCUGGUCAACAUCACUAAAAGUUAUUGAUGUUAGCCAGCAAUGUUAAGGCAUUUGGCAACAAAGCCACAGCCCUCAUAAGAAAGCAGACCUGUGUCAUAUUUAACGAGGCCUGCAAAUAAUCCAAGUGUCAAUAAAGUGACCUCAGAAGAAAAUUAGAGCUGUGAAACCGGUCAAUGCCACGUUAUUAAAAACGUGAAGGCAUCAGUUAGCGUUCAAAUAACAGAUUGUUAGUGGUAGUUGUAGGCCUUAAAACCCUUGACAUGUUACAUGUUAACUGAAUUUGUGAUGCUUUAACGCAUAGCCUAGCCUGUAACAGACUGAUCGGCCUAUAAACCAGUCAGUUAAAUUAGCCAACUCAAGAUUCACCUGCAACUUUGUUUGGCUAACACAUUAGCUGUCCUGCUACCUCGCCUUAAAUGUAACAGAAACGAUGCUAUCCGUACAGGCAGCUAGUUUACAUUAGUUGAAAGUUAAAUGAUCGUACAUUAAAUGAGCUCCAGAGCUUACUUUAGCUUAUGUGCUAUUCAAAUUUGUGAGCGGAUAUGGCUACCCUUAAUACAAAAAAAAAUCGAAAUCACUAGAAAGCAACAGCUCAGUGUUAGCGUAACAUCAGCUAAAGUGUCAACACUAAUUUCUAAACCAUCAUCAAUAUCGCUUCGCGAUUUCACUUCCCCGGACUUAUCGUCCUUUGGAAUCUAAGCUAAUAUACCAAAUUGUACACUUGUUCAAGGAAAUCUAUUACACUGCGCGAUUCUGUCAAUUGUAUGUGAAAUACGUAUCUAGCUAACUCAAGCUAACAUUAAUGUUCUCACUAGCGAGACUAAUGUUAACUUCACUUUAGCCCCAGACCGCAAAUGCAGCUAGCACUGAUCAACUAACGUUAGCUUAACACAGAUCAUGUUAACAAAUAAUCCGUCCACAUUAUACCAGGCUAACUUACAUUAGUCACGUUACUCCUCUGUCGCAACACAAACUAGCAGGAAGGACUGCACGAACAGAUUUCCGCGAAACUUGGAUGGAGGACGGGUCCAGACUUCUUUCAGACAUUCUUGGACACUGUCUUCCAAUCUGAAGACAGGGAAGACUGAGGACAACAAUUAAUGGCAACAAAAGUACACGGAGGGGAAGAGAAGUUUCGAUCUGAUUACAAAGGAGGGAAAGCAGCUCCUGACAAGUCACACAAACUCUUUGGAGCCCUGCUUUGAGUCUCCUUUUACCAGUCCUUUCACAAGGAAGUUAAUGAUGCUGGCAAGAAGAUGAAUCACCUCAGACAGCACACAGAGCAGCUCUGACAAGUGAGCACCAGCGAGUCUGACACCUGCAAGUACCAGAAGAAAGACUAAUAGUCAUGUCAGCUGCUACCUGUAGAGUUGAGCUAUGUCUGUCUGUGCUGAAAGAAACUGUCCCUCUGAUUGUAGGUGAAAAGCAGCCUGAAGGAUGUGGCUGGCUGGACGAAAAAACAUAAAGUCAUGUGGG
Molecule: long non-coding RNA, 1539 nt
Organism: Acanthopagrus latus (yellowfin seabream)
Lineage: Eukaryota; Metazoa; Chordata; Actinopteri; Spariformes; Sparidae
Exons: 3
Source: RefSeq, a predicted model, not a curated record